UGGCGGCAGGCCUAACACAUGCAAGUCGAACGGUAACAGGAAGCAGCUUGCUGCUUCGCUGACGAGUGGCGGACGGGUGAGUAAUGUCUGGGAAACUGCCUGAUGGAGGGGGAUAACUACUGGAAACGGUAGCUAAUACCGCAUAAUGUCGCAAGACCAAAGAGGGGGACCUUCGGGCCUCUUGCCAUCAGAUGUGCCCAGAUGGGAUUAGCUAGUAGGUGGGGUAACGGCUCACCUAGGCGACGAUCCCUAGCUGGUCUGAGAGGAUGACCAGCCACACUGGAACUGAGACACGGUCCAGACUCCUACGGGAGGCAGCAGUGGGGAAUAUUGCACAAUGGGCGCAAGCCUGAUGCAGCCAUGCCGCGUGUAUGAAGAAGGCCUUCGGGUUGUAAAGUACUUUCAGCGGGGAGGAAGGCGAUGCGGUUAAUAACCGCGUCGAUUGACGUUACCCGCAGAAGAAGCACCGGCUAACUCCGUGCCAGCAGCCGCGG
This 494-nucleotide ribosomal RNA is filed under the name Enterobacter sp. SL18. Its description in RNAcentral is "bacterial SSU rRNA". It matches the Rfam family "Bacterial small subunit ribosomal RNA", at positions 37 to 520 of the family's 1533-position model. Lineage: Bacteria; Pseudomonadati; Pseudomonadota; Gammaproteobacteria; Enterobacterales; Enterobacteriaceae. The record is from RNAcentral.